Molecule: ribosomal RNA, 254 nt
Filed under: uncultured bacterium
Lineage: Bacteria
Description: partial 16S ribosomal RNA
Rfam family: Bacterial small subunit ribosomal RNA
Source: RNAcentral
GACAGAGGGUGCAAACGUUUGUUCGGAUUUACUGGGCGUAAAGAGCGUGUAGGCGGCCAGGUAGGUCUGCUGUGAAAACUCGAGGCUCAACCUCGAGACGUCGGCGGAAACCAUCUGGCUAGAGUCCGGAAGAGGAGAGUGGAAUUCCUGGUGUAGCGGUGAAAUGCGCAGAUAUCAGGAGGAACACCGGUGGCGAAGGCGGGUCUCUGGGCCAUUACUGACGCUGAGGAGCGAAAGCGUGGGGAGCGAACAGG